GAUGAACGCUGGCGGCGUGCCUAAUACAUGCAAGUCGAGCGAACGGACGAGAAGCUUGCUUCUCUGAUGUUAGCGGCGGACGGGUGAGUAACACGUGGAUAACCUACCUAUAAGACUGGGAUAACUUCGGGAAACCGAAGCUAAUACCGGAUAAUAUUUUGAACCGCAUGGUUCAAAAGUGAAAGACGGUCUUGCUGUCACUUAUAGAUGGAUCCGCGCUGCAUUAGCUAGUUGGUAAGGUAACGGCUUACCAAGGCAACGAUGCAUAGCCGACCUGAGAGGGUGAUCGGCCACACUGGAACUGAGACACGGUCCAGACUCCUACGGGAGGCAGCAGUAGGGAAUCUUCCGCAAUGGGCGAAAGCCUGACGGAGCAACGCCGCGUGAGUGAUGAAGGUCUUCGGAUCGUAAAACUCUGUUAUUAGGGAAGAACAUAUGUGUAAGUAACUGUGCACAUCUUGACGGUACCUAAUCAGAAAGCCCCGGCUAACUACGUG
This 497-nucleotide ribosomal RNA is filed under the name uncultured bacterium. Its description in RNAcentral is "partial 16S ribosomal RNA". It matches the Rfam family "Bacterial small subunit ribosomal RNA", at positions 28 to 507 of the family's 1533-position model. The record is from RNAcentral.